UUUUGGGAGUAGUAUUCUUUCUGCUGUUGUUGUGUUCCCAAGGGUGAGGCAGCGGGGAAAGCUGAUGUCCCUUGGAGAGCUUUGCCCCCGUACGGCCUGGCAGGUGAGUGCUGCUUGGGCACGAGUUGCUGGGGCUUGCUGCCCCUCUGCUUUUCUGGUUCAGUUCCUCCAUUAAGGAGUUCCCUGCCACAGAAGUGGCUGUUUGGGCCAGUUCCAGCUUUUGUCACUCCGGCUGGCUUGAGUUUCAAAAAGAAAACCCACGACACAACCCCCACACAAGUGUCUACCCUGGCUUGCCCUCCGUUCCCUUAGCUUGCUGGUGCCACAGGGUGGCUCCUUGCAGCACUUGUAUUUCUACUGCUUUUAGCUUUCCAGCUGAAAUCAUUAAGGUUUUUCGCUCUGAUAUGAGUCUGCUGCUUCCUGGAACUAACCAAAAUCCACGUGCUCUCGAUGUUUCAGCGUGCUGUGCUCUGCUCUGAAAAAGGGAUUUCUUCUGAAAAAGGAAUACUGUUUUCUUUUAGCAUAUGGCACACGGUUAUUGUCUGUGCCCUUUUGGCCACUGCACCCCCUCAGUCUCCUGUGCUUCCACUGCUGCCUAAUUUUUGAGAAGCUUUGAGUAAAACUUUCACUUGUGAAAGAAAAAGAAACCAUUUGGUUUUCUCGCUUCACUUGGCUGCAACAAUGUUCAGAGAUUAAUAAAACGUGAGUGUGUGUCAGGGUUGUGGGAUUUCAGAGCCAAUUCCCACCAAUCAUGGGACAAAGCAUGAUGCCUUAGCUUGUCUGAGGCCAUGAAAUGGCAUCCCGAAUACCAAGCUCGGAAGACAGCUACUCCAAGCACAAGCUUGAGCUUCUGGUGCAGUUUCACAUCUCUCCUUGCACAAAAAGAAUUAAAAGAAAGGCUGCGAGAUGAAAAGUUGCUGAGGUUUGGGUACAUCUGUACAGAACUUCCUUGGGAGCUGUAAGCUCCUUCAUCAAAGCCAAAAAGCCCUUUGGAAGAAGCCAGCUGGAGGGUAUGGCACGAGCACAAGUACUUUCUGGUGGAACUGAAGCAGGGUUUGGACCGAGCAGGUGAGGAAGCAGAUGUACUUAACAGAGCUUUCCUCAAGCCGGGUGGGUUGCUCUGAGCUCUCUGUGCAUAGCCCUCAGCAUUAUCA
This 1154-nucleotide long non-coding RNA is filed under the name Strigops habroptila (Kakapo). RNAcentral's name for it is "lncRNA (ENSSHBG00005003696.1)". The record is from RNAcentral. Lineage: Eukaryota; Metazoa; Chordata; Aves; Psittaciformes; Psittacidae.